RNAcentral lists this ribosomal RNA (497 nucleotides) under uncultured bacterium. Its description in RNAcentral is "partial 16S ribosomal RNA". It matches the Rfam family "Bacterial small subunit ribosomal RNA", at positions 28 to 507 of the family's 1533-position model. The record is from RNAcentral.
GAUGAACGCUGGCGGCGUGCCUAAUACAUGCAAGUCGAGCGAACAGACGAGGAGCUUGCUCCUCUGACGUUAGCGGCGGACGGGUGAGUAACACGUGGAUAACCUACCUAUAAGACUGGGAUAACUUCGGGAAACCGGAGCUAAUACCGGAUAAUAUAUUGAACCGCAUGGUUCACUAGUGAAAGACGGUUUUGCUGUCACUUAUAGAUGGAUCCCCGUCUCAUUAGCUAGGUGGUAAGGUAACGGCUUACAAAGGCAACGAUGCGUAGCCGCCCUGAGAGGGUGGUCGGCCACCCUGGAACUGAGACGCGGUCCAGACACCCACGGGGGGCAGCAGUAGGGAAUCUUACGCGAUGGGGGAAUGCCUGACGGAGCACCGCCGCGUGAGGGAUGAAGGUCUUCUGACCGUAAAACUCUGUUAUUAGGGAAGAACAAAUGUGUAAGUAACUAUGCACGUCUUGACGGUACCUAAUCAGAAAGCCACGGCUAACUACGUG